AUUAAUUUGAGAGUUUGAUCCUGGCUCAGGACGAACGCUGGCGGCGUGCCUAAUACAUGCAAGUCGAACGAACUCUGGUAUUGAUUGGUGCUUGCAUCAUGAUUUACAUUUGAGUGAGUGGCGAACUGGUGAGUAACACGUGGGAAACCUGCCCAGAAGCGGGGGAUAACACCUGGAAACAGAUGCUAAUACCGCAUAACAACUUGGACCGCAUGGUCCGAGUUUGAAAGAUGGCUUCGGCUAUCACUUUUGGAUGGUCCCGCGGCGUAUUAGCUAGAUGG
This 281-nucleotide ribosomal RNA is filed under the name Lactiplantibacillus plantarum. RNAcentral's name for it is "Lactobacillus plantarum partial 16S ribosomal RNA". It matches the Rfam family "Bacterial small subunit ribosomal RNA", at positions 1 to 252 of the family's 1533-position model. Lineage: Bacteria; Bacillati; Bacillota; Bacilli; Lactobacillales; Lactobacillaceae. The record is from RNAcentral.